AACGAACGCUGGCGGCAUGCCUAACACAUGCAAGUCGAACGAGACCUUCGGGUCUAGUGCCGCACGGGUGCGUAACGCGUGGGAACCUGCCCUUAGGUUCGGAAUAACUCGCGGAAAGGGGUGCGAAUACCGGAGAAUAUCCUCGAUCCAAAGAUUUAUCGCCUUUGGAUGGGCCCGCGUUGGAUUAGCUAGUUGGUAGGGUAAAAGCCUACCAAGGGGACGAUCCAUAGCUGGUUUGCGAGGAUGAGCAGCCACACUGGUACUGAGACACGGCCCAGACUACUACGCGAGGCAGCAGUGGGGAAUACUGGAAAGUGGGCGAAGGCCUGAUCCAGCAAUGACGCGUGAGUGAUGAAGGUCUUAGGGUUGUAAAGCUCUUUUACCCGGGAUGAUAAUGACAGUACCGGGAGAAUAAGCUCCGGCUAACUCCGUG
RNAcentral lists this ribosomal RNA (433 nucleotides) under uncultured bacterium. Its description in RNAcentral is "partial 16S ribosomal RNA". It matches the Rfam family "Bacterial small subunit ribosomal RNA", at positions 29 to 507 of the family's 1533-position model. The record is from RNAcentral.